ACCCCACUUAAUUAAGCCGACUUUUAGAUGUUACUCAAUAUUCUAGAAGUGUGCUAAGGGUGGGCAAAUUAAAGUGAUGAUAUGUGUAUGGUGUCAUUCUUUUCUUAGUAGAGGAUACCAAAGAAAUUUUAUGCACAA
Molecule: small nucleolar RNA, 138 nt
Filed under: Lepeophtheirus salmonis (salmon louse)
Lineage: Eukaryota; Metazoa; Arthropoda; Copepoda; Siphonostomatoida; Caligidae
Description: small nucleolar RNA snoR639/H1
Rfam family: Small nucleolar RNA snoR639/H1
About the family: snoR639 or snoH1 belongs to the H/ACA class of snoRNAs which are thought to guide the sites of modification of uridines to pseudouridines. snoH1 is found in an intron of the mfl gene in Drosophila.
Source: Rfam by way of RNAcentral